ACUAUUCGCUAAAGCUCCAGAGCACAUGAACAUGAUGCUUGUGCUUCCAGACAUUCUGAGGAGGGACUUCGUCCUGAAAAUGCUGUCCGAUGAAAGAAAGAAGCAAGGUUGAUGGGAAAGAAGGUCCUUCUCUAGUAAUGGUGUGACAUAACUGAUGAGAAAAUAAGCAAGGUU
Long non-coding RNA from Triticum dicoccoides, 174 nucleotides. RefSeq lists it as uncharacterized. Lineage: Eukaryota; Viridiplantae; Streptophyta; Magnoliopsida; Poales; Poaceae. The transcript is spliced from 3 exons. The record is from RefSeq and is a predicted model, not a curated record.